Molecule: long non-coding RNA, 805 nt
Organism: Benincasa hispida (wax gourd)
Lineage: Eukaryota; Viridiplantae; Streptophyta; Magnoliopsida; Cucurbitales; Cucurbitaceae
Source: RefSeq, a predicted model, not a curated record
UAAAAUAUAAAAGAUUAAAAUAAAAUAAAGUUUUAUUUUUAUUCUCUCUCCCUCCCUCUUAAACGGCACCCAACCUCCGUUCUUCUCUCGUUUCUCCUCAUACCGCCAGCCAUCCCUACUCUGUCGCCCAGCCGCCUCGCCUCUUUAGCUGACCAGCCACACGCUUCCACGAGCUGCCACUUCGCGGCCUAGCCAGCAGCCACCCCUCGCGCCAGACAUGUCCACCAAUUGGAGUCGCCCAACCUUGCGCCAGACGCCAAUCACUGACCCAAUCGCGACCGUCCACCAUUUGAUGCCAUCCAACCAGCCACGCCAAAUCUGUCGACUCCAGCUACUAUCGGUGCUCAUUCCCCCGCUAGUUAGCCGUGCCACCGGUGUCCCAGAUUUGGCCAGCAACUGCCCUCAACCACAUCCACCGAUUUCAUACUCCACCAUCGCCAUUCCUUUGGAUUCUCGCCGGAUCGUGGAGUUGGGUGAAAUUUUGGAUUUAAGUUUGGGAAACGGUUGAAGUGGCUAUCCAGCGGGUUUGAGAUUGUUUCGGCAAGUGUUUUGGAGGGAUCCAAAUCUUUCCAAAAUUUUAAGGAGAUUAAUUUCGUGGACCUUUAUUUGUGACCAAAUUUGGGGUAAGGGUAAGGAUACAUCGGCGAAUGACAAGCAGAAUAUAUGAUCAAGCCACUGGGACCAGUCAUAUGCUUCCGCUUAUGUUUUCAGGAUUUUUAUGUUUUUAAUUUGUAUUAUUGAUAUUUGAACUAAAAAAUUUGGUAUUUGCACUUUAGACUAUUAAGAAAAUUUUCUUUUUUUUUUU